CCUACGGGAGGCAGCAGUGGGGAAUCUUGCGCAAUGGGCGAAAGCCUGACGCAGCAACGCCGCGUGAGGGACGAAGGUUUUCUGAAUUGUAAACCUCUUUCAGCAGGGAAGAUAAUGACGGUACCUGCAGAAGAAGCACCGGCUAACUACGUGCCAGCAGCCGCGGUGAUACGUAGGGUGCAAGCGUUGUCCGGAUUUAUUGGGCGUAAAGAGCUCGUAGGCGGUUUGGUAAGUCGGUUGUGAAAUCCCCAGGCUCAACCUGGGGCCUGCAUUCGAUACUGCCAUGACUAGAGUUUGGUAGGGGACCACGGAAUUCCUGGUGUAGCGGUGGAAUGCGCAGAUAUCAGGAGGAACACCAGUAGCGAAGGCGGUGGUCUGGGCCAAUACUGACGCUGAGGAGCGAAAGCGUGGGGAGCAAACAGGAUUAGAUACCCUGGUAGUCCACGCCGUAAACGGUGGGCACUAGGUGUGGGGACUAUUCAACGGUUUCCGCGCCGACGCUAACGCAUUAAGUGCCCCGCCUGGGGGNGGUACGGCCGCGAGACGUAAACGUACGAAAGAAGUAGUAACGGCGUGNGACGUGCCGACGGACGACGACGAGGGAGGAGG
RNAcentral lists this ribosomal RNA (609 nucleotides) under uncultured bacterium. RNAcentral's name for it is "bacterial SSU rRNA". The stretch from base 1 to 522 matches the Rfam family "Bacterial small subunit ribosomal RNA", at positions 338 to 873 of the family's 1533-position model. The record is from RNAcentral.